GGGGAUAGAACUCAGUUGCUAGAGUGCUUGCCUUGCAUGCACAAGGCCCUGGGUUCAAAUCCCAGCACCACCA
Molecule: non-coding RNA, 73 nt
Organism: Ictidomys tridecemlineatus (thirteen-lined ground squirrel)
Lineage: Eukaryota; Metazoa; Chordata; Mammalia; Rodentia; Sciuridae
Source: Rfam